GGACUACCAGGGUAUCUAAUCCUGUUUGCUCCCCACGCUUUCGCGCCUCAGCGUCAGUAUCGGUCCAGAGCGCCGCCUUCGCCACCGGUGUUCUUCCCAAUAUCUACGAAUUUCACCUCUACACUGGGAAUUCCACGCUCCUCUCCCGACCUCAAGCCGCGCCGUUCCGAGCGCAUUUCCCAGGUUGAGCCCGGGGCUUUCACACUCGACAAACGCGGCCGCCUGCGCGCCCUUUACGCCCAGUGAUUCCGAACAACGCUCGCCCCCUUCGUAUUACCGCGGCUGCUGGCAC
This 292-nucleotide ribosomal RNA is filed under the name uncultured bacterium. Its description in RNAcentral is "partial 16S ribosomal RNA". The record is from RNAcentral.